Molecule: ribosomal RNA, 253 nt
Filed under: uncultured bacterium
Lineage: Bacteria
Description: partial 16S ribosomal RNA
Rfam family: Bacterial small subunit ribosomal RNA
Source: RNAcentral
UACGGAGGGUGCAAGCGUUGUCCGGAUUUACUGGGUUUAAAGGGUGCGUAGGUGGUUAAGUAAGUCAGUGGUGAAAUCUUCGGGCUUAACCCGGAAACUGCCAUUGAUACUAUUUUUCUUGAAUACUUUGGGGGUAAGCGGAAUAUGUCAUGUAGCGGUGAAAUGCUUAGAUAUGACAUAGAACACCAAUUGCGAAGGCAGCUUACUACACAGUAAUUGACACUGAGGCACGAAAGCGUGGGGAACAAACAGG